Molecule: ribosomal RNA, 501 nt
Filed under: uncultured bacterium
Lineage: Bacteria
Description: partial 16S ribosomal RNA
Rfam family: Bacterial small subunit ribosomal RNA
Source: RNAcentral
AUUGAACGCUGGCGGCAUGCCUUACACAUGCAAGUCGAACGGCAGCACGGGUGCUUGCACCUGGUGGCGAGUGGCGAACGGGUGAGUAAUACAUCGGAACGUACCUUAUCGUGGGGGAUAACGCAGCGAAAGUUGCGCUAAUACCGCAUACGCCCUGAGGGGGAAAGCGGGGGACCGUAAGGCCUCGCGCGAUUAGAGCGGCCGAUGUCUGAUUAGCUUGUUGGUGAGGUAAAAGCUCACCAAGGCGAUGAUCAGUAGCUGGUCUGAGAGGACGAGCAGCCACACUGGGACGGAGACACGGCCCAGACUCCUACGGGAGGCAGCAGUGGGGAAUGUUGGACAAUGGGGGCAACCCUGAUCCAGCAAUGCCGCGUGAGUGAAGAAGGCCUUCGGGUUGUAAAGCUCUUUUGUCAGGGAAGAAACAGCAGCUCUAACACAGUCUGCGAAUGACGGUACCUGAAGAAUAAGCACCGGCUAACUACGUGCCAGCCGCCGCGGUAA